RNAcentral lists this ribosomal RNA (370 nucleotides) under uncultured organism. Its description in RNAcentral is "partial 16S ribosomal RNA". It matches the Rfam family "Bacterial small subunit ribosomal RNA", at positions 527 to 896 of the family's 1533-position model. The record is from RNAcentral.
GUAGGUGGCAAGCGUUGUCCGGAAUUAUUGGGCGUAAAGCGCGCGCAGGCGGUUCUUUAAGUCUGAUGUGAAAGCCCACGGCUCAACCGUGGAGGGUCAUUGGAAACUGGAGAACUUGAGUACAGAAGAGGAAAGCGGAAUUCCACGUGUAGCGGUGAAAUGCGUAGAGAUGUGGAGGAACACCAGUGGCGAAGGCGGCUUUCUGGUCUGUAACUGACGCUGAGGCGCGAAAGCGUGGGGAGCAAACAGGGAUAGAUACGCUGGUAGUCCACGCCGUAAAUGAUGAGUGCUAAGUGUUAGGGGGUUUCCGCCCCUUAGUGCUGCAGCUAACGCAUUAAGCACUCCGCCUGGGAGUACGGCCGCAAGGCUG